Long non-coding RNA from Numida meleagris (helmeted guineafowl), 5259 nucleotides. RefSeq lists it as uncharacterized. The record is from RefSeq and is a predicted model, not a curated record. NCBI's taxonomy places the organism in Eukaryota, Metazoa, Chordata, Aves, Galliformes, Numididae. The transcript is spliced from 5 exons.
UAUCAGGAAUUACACUUUGAAAAGCCAAACAAGCAAUCAUUUGAAAUUCAGUUUAAUAAUAAAAUCAAUACACACCUCAGUAAAAUAAGAGAAAACAUUGUGAAUAAGCUUCGUGCACAGCCCAAAUCUAUGUUCACCUGGCUAUUUGUUUCACGUUUCCAUUCCCAUUUUUUGCUUCCCAGCAGUAGUGAUAGAUCCAAAUACCACUGAUGGGUUUAAGCUGUGAGGAUCUCAUCUCUGUGCCUGAAACACAAGGCUUCGCCAAUCGCGAGAAAUGAGACACUGUGUGAUAACCAAACCAUGACACAACGGACUGGAAAUUUCAGAUUAAUAAACCUCUUUCGGAUGGGAACUAAAUAACUUUUGCAGUUUUAUCUGUGGCUAUUUGUUUCUUCGAAGAUUUAUGGUCCUCGCAACGGAUAUGCAUCUUAUCUUUCACUCCUCAGAUUAAAGGAAGACGAUUUGAAGCAGGCGUCUGACUGGCAUCAUCUGGAAUUGCAGAUGAUCUUCCUUUAAAAAAAAAACGCUGCAAGUGAACUUGCAAGUCAAAUGAGAAUAUCAUUACAUGUGUCAGGGACUGGGAAAGAAAUCUGCAUCCAGCUAAACAGGGCUCGUCCCUCUCGUUGCGACCCGGUGUCCUCGAGCAGCCCUUUGCCAGCCCGGUGCGAUCCGUAAUGCUUAACGGGGAAUUAAAACUUCUCGUGCUGCUGCUGCUUUAAUUGAUUGAUGCUAAAAGUUUAGAAACUAAAAUCUAAGCAGCUCUUACAAAGCUCCUUUAACCAAGCCUUCCCCUUUGAAAGCCGGAUCCUCAAUUGAAACUGGCAGCCCACAUUUUUAGGUUUCAAGCAGCUCUGUCAUUCUACGAGGAAUGUGUCUGCCACUUCACACGAUAGCUUGAGCUGAAAGACAUGUACUUUGAAUCAGAGAAUCAAUAGAACACUUAAUGGACAAUUAGGAGAACAGCUGUAGGACUGUCAAAGGCCCAUCUGUACACAGCUCCGGCAGCCUCGCCUGGACAGGGCACUGCACACAGCUUUCUGCCCCGGGGCACCGGCUCCCAUUACAAAAUCCCCCUUUCAUUUCACAUUUAAUGUUAAUAUAGUGUGCUUUUUUUCAUUACAAAUUUUAACACGUGUAGAAAAUUAUGGAGAUUGCUCGGGCCAUUUGUCAGCUCACAUCAUGUGAAUUGAUCAAUAAAUUUCACCACUUUGUUGUUAAUGUAGAUAAAUUUUGGCAUUUAAUUAAGCUACAGCGAAAACGUGGCCACUUUUAAUUUCAGCAGAUGCUACCUUUUCAUCUGUAAUCCGGGGCUGCAUCGGCAAUGCAAUCCAGCCGCUAAAUAUUUAUAGACAACAUGACAAUUCCUGAAAGAGUUAUCAUCGACGGUUUUGGUUCUGCAACAAUUAGCGUUGUUUGAAGGAGCUCAUGUGGAAAGCCAAAAUAAAUUCCGAGCAGCAGAUGAAGUUACGGCUCUACAGAUGCAUUGCAUGUAUAUAAAGCGCAUAAAUCUAUGCGCUGCAAACACGGGGAUUAUUAUAGGAAUACCGUCCGUGGCAUUAUGCACACAAACCCAUGUAAAUUCUGGUAAACAGGCACUAAUCCCCGCGUGCGUAAACUCUCACGUAUCACACCGACAUCUGUACGGAUAUCGCCGCGAAUUAGACCUGCAAACCAAUAUUUAUCCUUAACGGAGCUGCUUUGCCAAAACGCAGUGGCAGAGAUUGAUCUCGGAAAUUAACAGCGCAGAAGGAAACGUUCCGUGUAUAAACAGUGUACGUAAAAUAACUCAGUUGAAGAGUUGAAGAAGGCGCCGCUGCUUAGAAAAUGUUAUCGAAGUUUUUUCAAAUUACCCAGCAAAUUUCUAAAGCCGCAACGACGCGGGGAUCAGCCUCAAAACUCCCGGAUAUUUUUUAAGCCCGCAGUUUUGGCCAGACAAUAAGAAACACAAAUGAACAUUUGAGGCUUUCUAUAUGGCCUGAGGGACCCCGAGAUGAAAUCCUGCCUCUGACAGCCAGAGGCCCCAGACGCCACGCUCAGCAGCGGGGCCUGACAUGACAAAGUGCCGCCCGCGCCGGAGCGGGCAGGGGGAGGCGGCUGCUGCUGCCAGCGCCUCUGGGCGAGGAGAGGGCUUCCAAUCCCACCGCUGCUCCCACUGCAUCCCCCUGAUGAAGCGCACUCCCAUCCUGAGCUGGGAUUUCUGUUGUUUAGAGGACAACCUUGCUAUGGGCAUGAACUUGCCUUAGGGAAGACACAACUACGCGGGGAAAUUCGUGGUGGACACGCAGCCCUCAUCCUUAUGGGGUGCUCUCCAGAACUGGAGCUGGCAGGUUCAGCAUCUCCCCACGCUCAGGCAGCAAAACAGCCCCACACCCAGGCACCAGAAGGGCAGACAUCCUGCGUGCCGUUGGGAAAACUCCUGUUGUUGUGACUCCUGGGUGAACUGCUCGGUGUCCAUUCCUAGCUAAAAGCUUCUAACUCAGGGAAGAAAAAAACACCGAGGAAACAAAAAGCCCAACACACUCAGACACCAAUCAUUUUUAAAGUGGAGUUUCUGUUUUUUUUGUGGAUUUGUCGCCACUGCAGCAUGUUUUAUUUUCAGGUUUGCAGAGGAGCUGGUCAGCAGAUUUCUUGAAGUUGCUGGGGAGCGUAGUGAAGGGGACAAGAAAAGUGUUCCAAGUGAGACUGGCUGGCUUCUGGCCAAGGAGCUGCUGCUCGCCCAGAGGGAGCAGGGAGCCCAGAUGCUGUAGCUGUGGUUUAUGUGCAGGAGCUGAACCACAGGGAGUUAUCCGGGCAGUACAGAGCAUACUCAGUAAAUAAGGAUCAUUCUACCCAAAUCUGAAGUCAUUGAAAUUACCUCUCCACCCCCUCGCCACUAACGCAGGAAGUGUGGUCUCAGCUUACCAUGAAGCACCACCACGUACUCCUCCCAGGGUCCAUGCAACUUCCACCCAGAAGCUGCUGCUUCUGCACGACACAACACAGGAAGACUCCAUUCUGCCAAAAUAGGCCUGUCGAGGUGGAGCAGAGAUCCACCAGUACAACAGCUCCAGCACCUCGCCACGUGAGUCACACUCAGCAGCAAGAAGAGCAACAUCAGCAUCAGUUCCUAGGAAAACCAUCCUAGGUAUCUGCAACAGGGGCAUAUCGUUACUCAGGGACCGCAGAAGGAAGGUGCAGGUGUUUACCUGGGUAUUUAAAUGCCAAUUAUAUAUGGCAGCUGAAGGCAGUUAAUGACUAUAAGAAGCAGUGGUUCAUGGAUAAAUACCCCCCCCCCCUUGAAGCAUAUUGCCUCUGCCAUCACAGAGGGACUCUUUCCUGAGAGAAAAAAACAGCUUUGAUGGAGGGUAGGUCAGAUGCAUUCAGUUUGUCCAGCUUAUGGCAGAGCCUCAGUCUGCUGGUGGGACAGGAUCCCCCCAGAAUGCUGCUGCUGCUGAAGUGCCUGUGAUGCUGCCUGUCCCAGCCUGGGGGAGAGUUGGACCUCCUGGCAUGCCCUACUCUCAGUGCUCUGCUGCUCUGAUCUCAAAGGAAGAAGGGGAUGGAAGGAGCGAUCUGAGACUUCAAGGCCAGCGGCCAGCAGAGGCCCCAGUGAUCUCAAUGAAAGAGGGGAUUUGCAGGGGAGUCCUGGAAAGAGGCAGCAGCAGCAACAGCGAUGACACAAAUUAAUUGCACAGUUUUCAGGAGAUAAUGCAGACGAGGUAAAAAGAAUUACUACGCGAUUAACAUAGUUUCCAAUUAAAGUCCCCUGUAGUUACUGAAAAACAUUAAUUUCUAGUAACUUGGUAAUUUAACUUGUGUCACCACUGUACACGGAUCUCCUGCACCAGGCCAACGAGUGGGCUCAGUGCUGGAGCCUUGCAUGAGAAACAGGAAAAACAAUCUGAAAAUAGCCGUCAGUUUUUAAUAGCCACUUGUAGCCGGCUUCUAACAGAACGCCGUUGUGGUGAAGAGAAGGGCUUGGAACAGAUUGCAGAGCCAAAGCGAACAACGGCAGCCCUCAGUCUGAAAGGACUAUCUGAAUAAACUCUGCGUGCUUCAGCCACUGCGUUUCUUUAUGAACGCGUUGCAAGAAGACUGGCACAGAUGGAACGAUUUCUCCCCUUUAAGUUUGCUGUCGGGAUGGCAGACUGACAUUUUUCCUUCUCACACGUACGCUGCAGCUCUCAUUUCUGUGUGAUCGUUCCCAUUACAAAACCACCGACCCAAAGGCCUCGAGCAGCCGCUCCUUUCUGCUGGCUGCGAGGUCAGAGCCAGCCCAGUGGGCAGCUGCAGGCAGCCAGGGCAGCUUGGGAUGGUGGAUUUGUCCCUUAGCUCCCAGCUGGCUCCUGGUGUAGGCCUGGAGGAACUCUGGAGACACGCCAUGCUCUACAGGUACCUGCAUUUUCAGAAACAGAAAUGACCCAUUCAGGAGUAAGUCCGCUGCACAGCUCUGUGUUUUCAUGCAGCUGAGUACCACUCCGAACUUCAUUACAAGUAUUGCAGGCUCCUGUGCAUUAAAGCCUCUAAAGCUUAUUACAUUUUAUUAUUAUGGCUACAACAACAGAAGUUGUAAAUGGAAAAGGCAUUAUUGACUCAACUCAUCGGCUGAAUGCAGGAUUGCUCUUUGCUGUCUGUGUCGGCCUUUGGGCCAGGCUGGUUGGCAGCAGCCCGACAUCGGCCUCCCAGUGCUCCUUCAAACACAGAAGCACAGUACAGCUCCGUGCCUCGUUUCCUGGCUGCUGUCACCCAGAGGACCCAGGGGACAGCCAUGCAUUUUUUGCUGAAGCUCCGUGAAUUUGAGCCUCACUAACCGGGACUCUCCUAUUUCCCAGUUCUUAGUGACAUACCCAAUUCUCCUCAUUUUGACAUCUAAAUUCCAUAAAUACGUUGUUUACUCCCUCUUCUGGGCUAUUAAUGAAAAAAAUUAAGCUCCAAGCCAAACAUCCUCACAUAUAUGCAGCAUGUAAAAAUAUUAUGCCAAUUAUUGGUGUGAUUUAACCGUGCAGAGGUUACUAAUUUAGACAAACGACGUGUAGCUUUGUUUUCUGUGUCUGAAAACGAUGAAACCACAAAUAAUCUCACUUUGGCUUCUUGGAAUAUUAACUCAAUUAGCACCUGAAAGCGCGCAGUCCAGCCCUGACACGUGCACGCUCUGGCUCUGCCUGCAGCCCAACUAUCCGUCAUUUCUUUCUCAUACAAGGGAAAAAGGCACUUGAACGAAUACAUGCGCUGCUUAUUUGGAGAGACAACAUUUGUGCCUUCUGUGCCUGAAUGGCACUUAGC